This 11878-nucleotide long non-coding RNA is filed under the name Brassica rapa (field mustard). Its description in RNAcentral is "long non-coding RNA (BRAP_LNC006681)". The stretch from base 9215 to 9321 matches the Rfam family "Plant small nucleolar RNA R71". Lineage: Eukaryota; Viridiplantae; Streptophyta; Magnoliopsida; Brassicales; Brassicaceae. The record is from RNAcentral.
ACAAGAUUUCUGAAUAAUACUGCAUAUAAAAUAAGUAAAAAGACAAAGGGUUCAGGGAAAUCUUCUUGUGAGAAUGAGAGAUGGAGCCUUCUCCCUUACAAGUUGCGUAAAAUCCAAAAGAGUAAUCUAGGUUUCUUGUAAAACUCGUGUGUCCUCUAAGAAAACGAUAGCCUCCCCUUUUAUAGGGAGGCGCUGGUGAUAGGAGAAUAAGAGAAAGAGAAAGUCGAAACUAGGGCAAACUCCAGAAUAGGAAGUUUCCUUAAUGAACGGGAGCAGUCUAAUGCUUGAUCUCUUCGGGAGCAACCCUUGGGUUGUUCUAAAUGACUGUUCCACGUUGAAUCCUUCGAAACAGCAUCAGACUUCCUGAAACUCUCUCCUUUACUCUUUCACCUGUUCCCAACCUAGAAUGAUGUAAAUUAAACACGAAUUAGGACUGAAAAUGAGCUCAAAGUGCACAUGUAUUGGUAUUAAAAACACCACAUAUCAAUUCCCCCAGACUUAGAUCCUUGUUUGUCCUCGAACAAGACCAAGCCUCAAGAGCAGGGAGAAAGGUUUGAAGGAGCGGGAACUCGCUUUGUCUGAAUAACCAUGCUCUUACCACACAUCUCUGAACCAUACAAGCUGUAGAAUCAGAUCGCACACCCUUACCAGAACACCCCACGAUUGCUGUUCGAAGAUCAGCUCCGUACUCUGUAUCUCAUACCUGAAAAGGUUGCACUAUCGAGACAAAACUCCUUUAAGAAUCAUUUAAGAACAGCGUGAGCUUCUCAUUACAAGCACUAUUCAGGGUAGACGGGUUGAUAAGGAAUAGGCUGUUUUACGGUGGAGCUGAGAGUGUUUAGGGGUUACCGUGUUUGAGUGCAUGCAGGAUAUCGCGCAAAAUAGCAAGAGAGGACGGAUCUGUUGAAGCCCACAACCCUUACUCAUCUCUGCCUCACGGAUUAGAUUGUUCUACAAUGUGGAUCAAUCGUGCCACUGUUCUCCAGCUCUUGACUUCUUUUUAUUCCUCCAAAAUCUGCGCCCACUUCUUGCUCACCCUUUUCCAGCAGCAUGCAUCUCGAAUCUACCCUCUCGAUCAUAAAUAAAUUAAAGCAUUCGGGUUUUUUUUUUUUUUUUUUUUUUUUUUGAGUGGAGAUGGAGGGAGGUAUCGGGACGAAUGUUUUGCAGCCGCUGGGGGUCUAUCCUCUGUUUCUCACGGGGUGCCAUUGUUCCAUGCGCCUUCGACUGUUUCUUUCUUUAAGGAUUGAUCUUGUCGACUGUUCUCAAUCUACUUGUUCUUCUCUCUGAGUGUCAGGCGUCAACGAGUAAGGGGCUGUGUCAAUCCUAUCCUCUCCGGCCCUUUUGCACAUAUCUGCACAUAUGACAUUGAAAAACAGAGUGUAUGAGGGUGAAAAUAAAGGUUUAGGUAGAAGGUUGGAACUAGCUAAAAAUGAGCUAGCCGCUCAGGAUCAACAAGAUUGGUAAAAAGAAUAAGAAGCCCUGAGCGUUGGUCUCGUUUCCCUGAUCUAGUGCCCAUAACAAGAAGAAUUUCAGUCAAGAUUAGGUUCAAGUUGGGUGGAGUUGAGUCUACCCAGUGUAACCUGAUCGGAUGAGAGCUUCUGGAGAGUCAAAUGAGAUGAGUCAAAGGGUGUUCCAGGUCCAAGUAUGGGCUCUUUCAUCACUGCUAAGGUCACUGGAUAAGAAUGUUAGAGCACGAGGUGGUUAAAAGAAUAUAUCACAAGGUCCUAAUUCCCACAAGAGUUUUAACUGACUCGAUCCUAAACUGACUCGAUAAAACAUCAAAAUGACGCAAGGACUGACUCAAAAACAAAGAAACAAAGAAAUAGAGUUUCAGCACCCAGUGCUUCCCCCAGACUUAAUCGACACCAUCCCUGGUGGAAAUGAAGCUGAGGUCAGCCAAAAAGCAACACAGCAUAAAACAUAAAAAAAUAAAAAUAAAAAGUUCAGAUGGAUAGAACAAUGGAUAGAGGAUAGUCCUUGCGGACUCAGUCGGACUCGCCGCUCUCGGCUGGGUCAAAGGAUCGCCUGUUGCGCGAGCGAUGAACCUCUUCUGAAAAAGGGCCAGUUCCCAUGGGCUCCUUGCCUGGUCGGUGGGAUCUUGGUGGUCGAUCUGUCGUAGACUGGCGCUGGGCGCUCCCUCCAAUGCAUCCCCCAGUGACGAGGUGGAGUAUCCUCCGCAUGAGGCUGUUGUUCUUUCGCUGCGAGUCCACCAUCCAGCGUCUGUAAGCUUGAUCAUCGGUCACAUCGGCGAGCUCUCCUAGGUCGUACGAUGGGUCGGCUUCAGGGGUGAUGUCCUCAACAUCAUCCAUGUCUUCGUCAGGGACCGCAGCACGUGGAUCAGUGCAAAGGAGCUCGGGGGGAGGAAGAAACCGUAUGUUCUCAAACACGCUGAACCUGGUGAUCUCGGGGUGAGGCAGUUUGGUGAAUAGCUGAGUUCCGGCUUUAUCGUAAAAGCUGUAGGUCUCUUCAUCUCGCAUGAUGUGGCACGCCAUUAGGUACCUAAUGUCGAGGUACUGGACCUCCUUGUUGACGCUGUAUUUGGUGAGAUCAAUGUCGAAAUGCUUGAAAAGCGGUGUGAGCAGGCUGCCGCUCCUGUCUUUCUUCUUCGAGCCGUGCAUAAGGCACUGUCGCCGCUCGCAUAUCAUGGUGAUGAAGUUGAAACCGGGAUUCGUCUUAACCCUUUGAAUGGGAAUUCCGGAACCAGAGGCGCGAAUUUCAUCCUCAAUACCAGUGUACAGGGUUUGCAGCUCCCCGUUGGUGACCUUCGAUGUCAGAUCCUUGGCGAACAGGAGGUUUGAGAUGAUCUUCGCGAUGACACGAAGCGCGGGGUUCCGAAUCUGCGACUGGUAGACCUUCCCUGCUGUGAAGUUUCCAUUUGCAAUGCAGUCCCAAAAGGCGUUAGAAGGAGAGAACUUUUUCGCCACCGCUACCCCCUUUGGUUCAGCGGCCAUCUCAUAGAUUUCAUUGAGCUUGUCGAGGGACAAGCGACAGUACUCUCCAUCCGCCAUGAAAGAGAACGAGCAGUUGGCGUAGGAGGGUGCGUCGGAAUCCUCGUAGGUGAUCGUGGCCGUGGCGAGCAUCUGGCGAACAAGGUCUGGAUAGAGCUCGUGCGUUGUGUAGCACAGAGGAGCAAUCUCGAUGGCGUGCAGCGUUUCGAAUACAUCCUCGUCGAUCCCAAGAUCAGCCAAAGUUUCUGUGUGGCAGAAACGAGGGGGUAGCAUGUCAACUCUGAGGAGGGCGUUGUAACGAGCUGCUGUCCCCUUAUCCCACCCCUCGCAAUUGAAGUCCAGGAGCAAUGGGCUGUCGAGAUCAAUCAGUUCACCCUCUUGCUCGCGGGGCCAUGGGUAGGAGGCGGACGUUUGUUGCUGCGCUUGCGGGGGUGGCGUGCUGCACGUGGCUCUCGUUCGCUUGGCGGAUUGCUUAGUUCUUGCCAUCUACAAGGCAAACAAGAUCAAGCAUUAGUUCUAUUAUGUCACACAGAAGAAAUGGAAUCGAGGUAUUCCCAUCUCUCCUUGUGCGAACUGCAAACCGCUGUUCACUUCAACAAAUUUCAACCAAAUCAAACUCAAAUCGCAAUCGUGAAAUAGGAGAGUGUUCAUAUUCUAAAUCAACCCUAACAGCACGAGGGGGGAUCGAUAUCAAGUGGUUAAACAAGAAUCGAUCUAUGAAAGCGGUUUAGAAAUGAAUUUGCAAACCGAGUUGGGAUUGUCGGGCCUCUUACCUGUGGAAACUGGUAAAGUGAUCUGCAAAAACAGAGAGAACUCGAGAUUCCAAACGAAUGAGAAGCAAAACCACUUAAAACGGUUGAGAAUCAAAGAUUUGGUGGUUUGUUUGGAGAGAAUCGCAAGUGGGGGAUCAAUGUACGGCGGACUGAAAGGGAAAGUGAAGGGUGAAGCCUUAAAUAGGCAAAACCCUAACUGCUCCCGAAAUUAUUCUCUUUUUUUUUUUUAAUUUUUUUUUUUUGUUCGGAACAUUUACCUGGAACAGUCGAUGGGUUGUUCUAACAGAAGAACAGUCCGUUGGUUGUUCUGAGUGAAGAGUCCGAUUUUCUUUUUCUGCAAAACAAAUUAGAAAAGGAAAAGAACAGACUAUGUAGACAAUGUAUGUACUGACCAGUGGGUUGCCUCCCACCAAGCGCUUGUUUAAAGUCAUUAGCUCGACUUGGAUCAAUUGAUCAGGCAGAUGGGGGCUCGCUUAGGGGAAUUUCUUCUCCCUCUGCGAUAGUGGAGUCAGCAAGGUAGUGCUUGACGCGCUGUCCAUUCACUACAAACUCGUCCCCUUUUUUGUCUAAUAACACAACUGCUCCGUAGGGUCGAACUUCCUUAACAGUGAAAGGCCCGGACCAUCUAGACUUCAACUUCCCUGGGAAUAAUCUCAGCCUCGAAUUGAAAAGCAAGACCUUAUCGUUUGGUUCGAAUUGUCUGGCAAUGAUCCUCUUGUCAUGGUAGGCCUUGGUUUUCUCUUUGUAGAUUUUGGAGCUUUCAUAGGCGAGGUGCCUUAUCUCCUCCAGUUCAUGAAUCUGGAUCAUGCGUCUCUCGGUUGCUGGCUUGAUGUCGAAAUUCAGUAGCUUGACUGCCCAUGCAGCCUUGUAUUCAAGCUCGACGGGUAGGUGACAUGCUUUACCAUACACCAAGUGGUAGGGAGUCGUUCCUAGCGGCGUCUUGUAGGCUGUUCUGUAGGCCCAUAGCGCAUCGUCCAGCUUAAGCGACCAGUCCUUUCGCGAUGUGUUGACAGUUUUCUGCAGGAUGCUUUUGAUCUCCCUGUUGGACACCUCAACCUGUCCGCUCGUCUGUGGAUGGUAAGCAGUUGCCACCUUGUGGUUCACUCCAUUCUUUUUUAAAAGGCCCUGAAAUGCCUUGUUGAUGAAGUGUGUUCCACCAUCGCUGAUUACGACCCUAGGCACUCCGAACCUUGGGAAUAUGAUUGAGCUGAACAUCUUAGUCGCCACUUUUGCAUCGUUCGUAGGGCUUGCCACUGCUUCUACCCACUUAGAGACGUAGUCAACGGCGACAAGGAUGUACUCGUUCUUGAAGGACGCAGGGAAUGGUCCCAUGAAAUCGACUCCCCAACAGUCGAAUACCUCAACCUCUAGAAUGUAAUUCUGAGGCAUCUCAUUCCUCUUGCUGAUGUUCCCAAGUCGCUGGCAUGCAUCGCACCUGGCUACGUAGGCUUGAGCAUCCCUGAACAUAGUCGGCCACCAGAACCCUGCUUGGAGGACUUUAGAAACCGUUUUGAAUGCAGCGAAAUGACCUGCGUAAGAUGAACCAUGGCAGUGGUGCAGAAUUCCUGGAAUAUCUGCCUCUGGAACACACCUUCUGAACAAACCAUCCUUGCCUUGUCUGUACAAGAACGGUUCAUCCCAAACAUAACGCCUUGCCUCUCUCAGGAAUUUCCUCUUGUCGUUUCCUGUGAACUUAAGUGGUGGCUUUUCAGCAGCUAGAAAGUUAGCAAUCUCAGCAAACCAUGGGAGGUGAGGAUAUUGCUUUUGGAUCAAGGCGACAUGAUGUUUCGAGAUGUGAGAACAAUCGGGCGCCUUCCUCGGAGGUUGUUCCGCGAUGCUGGAACAGUCUGACAUGGUUCUUAGAGAUUGUUCCGCGUAACACAGACCAAUCGCGUUGACGUGUUCAACUGGGUGUUCCUCAUCAAGAGUUGUGUCGUCCUCAAUCUUCAUUCUGGACAGAUGGUCAGCGACCCCAUUCUCGACACCUCUCUUAUCUUUUAUCUCUAGAUCAAAUUCUUGGAGAAGAAGAAUCCACCUUAACAACCUCGGUUUCGCAUCUUUCUUUGUGAGCAGGUACUUAAGAGCAGCAUGGUCUGUGUGCACAAUCACUUUAGAUCCCACUAGGUAGGACCUAAAUUUUUCGAAAGCAAAAACAAUAGCCAGAAGCUCUUUCUCAGUUGUAGCGUAUCUGCACUGAGCUUCAUCCAUAGUUUUGCUAGCGUAAUAGAUCACAUGAAGUUUCUUGUCCUUACGCUGCCCAAGUACUGCUCCAACUGCAAAAUCACUUGCAUCAGUCAUGAUUUCAAAGGGUAGGUCCCAGUCUGGUGGUUGCACAACAGGUGCACUGACUAGAGCUCCCUUGAUGGUGUGGAAAGCAGCUAGACACUCACUGUCGAAAUCGAACUUGAUCUCCUUACAGAGCAGUCUGGUGAGUGGUCUUGCUAUCCUUGAGAAAUCCUGGAUAAACCGUCGGUAAAACCCAGCGUGACCCAAGAAACUCCUGAUGGCCUUCACGUUUGUUGGUGGUUGCAAACUCAUCAUCACUUCGAUCUUUGCCUUAUCCACCUCAAUUCCUUUCUCGGAGAUCUUGUGCCCUAGAACAAUCCCGUCUGUGACCAUGAAGUGGCAUUUCUCCCAGUUGAGUACGAGGUGUUUCUCCUCACAUCUUUUAAGAACCCUGCACAAGUUUGACAAACAGACAUUAAAGGAGCUUCCAUAGACGCUGAAAUCGUCCAUGAAAACUUCCAUAAUGUCUUCAAUCAGGUCAGUAAAGAUCGACAUCAUGCAGCGCUGGAAUGUUGCUGGCGCAUUGCACAAGCCGAAUGGCAUUCUCCUGUAAGCGUACGUUCCGUAGGGGCAUGUGAACGUCGUUUUCUCCUGAUCGUCUGGAUGGAUGGGAAUCUGAAAGAAACCUGAAUAACCAUCUAAAAAGCAGUAAUAUGGGUGGUUAGCCAAUCUCUCAAGCAUUUGAUCAAUAAAAGGGAGUGGGAAGUGAUCCUUUCUAGUUGCUGCAUUUAAUUUCCUGAAAUCUAUGCACAUGCGAUGUCCUGUCACCGUCCUAGUAGGGAUCAAUUCAUUCUUUUCAUUUGUGAUAACAGUGAUCCCACCUUUCUUAGGUACAACAUGAACAGGACUGACCCAUUUACUAUCAGAAAUCGCAUAGAUCACACCUGCUUCAAGAAGUUUCAUUAUCUCUUUCUUAACGACAUCUUUUAGAUUCGGGUUUAACCUCCUCUGAUGUUCGACAGAAGUCAUUGAUUCAUCUUCCAAGUGGAUUCUAUGCAUGCAUAAAUCAGGCGAAAUACCAGGGAUGUCAGCUAGCGAAUAUCCUAAUGCCUUACGAUAUUUUCUAAGCUCGCAUAAAAGCAAUGCAGUUUCCACAUUAUUCAGCUCAGCAUUCACAAUGACAGGAUAUGUGGAAUUCGGACCUAAGAAAGCGUACCUGAGCCCUUUGGGAAGGGGUUUUAGCUCAACUUUGGGAGCCUUGAGCUCGCUCCAGGGAUCCUCUGGUUGGUCCGGUUUAGGGGUCGCUCCAGAUGGAGUGGUCUCGCACCUGUUGAUAUCCUCCCCCAGACUUAGACUCGCUACCAUUCUCCCCAUACUCCUUGCGGAGUCAAGCAUCUUGGCAUAUCCAUCAGCAUCAAUGUUCACCAUACUCUGCUCGGCUUCAGCACGCACCAGUGCAAGUUCCAGUGGGUCUUCGGUAAGAAUCUCCUCGAUCAUUCCUUCUUGUGGUUGGAGCGGAUCAACCCCUUCAUUGACCUCAAAGGUUUGUCCAUCCAACAUCGGCUUCUUUAGCAACUCAUCCAUUUCGAAUUGCAUAACUAUGUCCCCAAGAUUCAGAUCAAUCUUUCCCUGUCGCACAUCAAUGAUAGCUCCGACAGUACAUAAGAAUGGUCUUCCCAAGAUGAGGGGGUCCUUAGACUCUUCUUCCAAUUCCAGAACAACGAAGUCUGCUGGAACAGUGGUGUUCCCUACUUUCACUUGGAGAUCCUCUAGAAUACCAACAGGAGAUUUGACUGAUCUGUCUGCGAAAACCAAGGACAUCUUAGUUGGUUUGAAGUGCGUGUAUCCGAGUCGUAAAGCGACAGAGUAGGGCAUGAGAUUCACGCUAGACCCAAGAUCCACCAAGGAGCAGGCAAAACUGUCUUCCCAAUCUGGAUAGAGAGGACAAAUUUGCCGGGAUCUCCUCGUUUUUUUAUUUGCCUGUUCUGAAGCACUGCGCUGCACUCCUUGGAAACUGUCAUGAACUCGCUCUCGUCUGAUAUUUUCCCUGAGAUCAACCCCUUCAUAAAGCUACGCAUGGAGGGCAUCAUCUGAAUCGCAUCCAUCAGGGGAAGUCGGACGGUUAGAUCUUCCAGCAUCUUCCUGCAUUUUAUUUCCUCCUUGUCCUUACGAGUGACCUUCGCUGGAACAGGGUAAGGGACUUUUGGAAUGUAUUCGCGAGGAGGAACAGCCUCUGGAAUCGGGCGCACUGCUUCAGCCGGUUGUUCUGAGCGUGGCGAGGCUGUUUCAACUACCGGCUCUGUAUUCCCCUCAUCUGCUUGGUCGGCUGGUGGUUGCUCUGACUCUUUCUGCUUGCCUUUCUCAGCCGCGGUGAACCUUCUCCUUUCUGGCUCGGAAAGUUGCUUCCCGCUUCUUAGCUGAACCGCAUUGCACUCCUUGGGGUUUUUGUCUGUUUUACCAGGUAGAGUACCUUGCUGUCUCUUGACACUCUCGGCAGUCUGAGCUAUCUGAAUGUCCAUCUGUCUCAUAUGGCUUGCGACAUUAUCAUAUUUGGUGCUCAGGUCUCCGAACAUAUGGUUCAUCCUAGUAUUGAUCUCGGUAGUGACCUGGUUCAGCGCUUUCCCUUGGAGCUGUUGUCCUUGGAGGAGUUGCUGCAGCAUGGUUUUAGUUUCAUCUUGCGGAACAGCGACAGGGGUGGAGGUAGCGACUUGAGUGUUCUGGUGGUUCUGUAUUUGAGGCUGAUUGCUCUGCGGUUGGCUUAGAACAUAUGUUCGGGGUUGAUAGUUCUUCUGAUAUCCCGAAUACUGGCCCUGGUUGUUCUGCGCCGGAUCAACUUGUUUGUCCUGCUUAGGCCAGAAAAGUUGUGGAUUGUUCCUUACGUUAGGGUUUGGGUGAUAAUUCUUCAGCUGCCACCCUUGUCCAUUUACGUAACUCACUUCCUGCUGAUCGUCUCCUGCCUGCUCAGCUUCAAACGCCUUGUCCCCCGCACUCUUCUCAGGAGUUGCUUCUUCCAUUAUGAAGACCUGGCUCUGGUUUCCCUUCAGCAGUUGGUCCACCUUCGCCGCUAGAUCGUCUAUGCUGUUCACACUUUUGGAGCGAUCAUGCUCCUUGUUCUUGUUGAGUGAACUGGAAGCCAUGUUCUCAAUCAACGCGAAUGCACCAGGGGUGGUCUGAGUCAUGAAGUCUCCGUUACUAGAGGAAUCGAGGGUGUUCCGGUACUCAUAGCUCACUCCAUCGUAGAACACCUCCAAUAUGUAAUCGUCAUCAAACCCGUGGUGUGGACAUUCCCUCUGGUACUCUUUAUACCUCUCCCAAGCUUCAUAAAAGGGUUCAUCAGAUUUCUGCUUGAAGUUGGAGAUUCUAUGCCUUAGAGCCGCGGUUUUGGACUUUGUGUAGAAGUGGCUCAGGAAUGCUGAUCGAACCUGAUCCCAUGAGGUUAGAGAACCGGUUGGGAGAGAUUGCAGCCAACGUGCAGCUUUCCCUUCAAGAGAAAAUGGGAACAGCGUGCACUUGACGUAAUCCGGUGGCACUCCAUUUGAGCGAGAGAAAUUGCAGAUCCUCUCAAAGGCCUCUAUGUGAUCCAUUGGUAUGUCUGAAGUGAGGCCACUGAAUGUGCUCUUCUGUACCAGACCAAUCAGUGCAGGUUUGAUCUCAUAAUCCUGUCGAGUACAGGGUGGAGGGUUGAUGGGGGAGCGGUUAGUAGCAAAAUUCCUCGGAAGGUUUCGCUCCCCAAUAAGAGCACCACGCUCCUCUCGCGCAGCGUUCUCGGCUGCUUGCUCUUGUGCAGCUUGUUGCUGAUUCUGGAUGGUUUGCUGCAUCUGCUGCAUCUGCUGUUGCUGAUUCUGCAUUUGUUGUUGAAUGAGUGCCAAUGCAGCAGUGAGGUCAUCCAUAUUGCCAUGAUCACCCAUGUUGGUGUCGGUUGUUCUUGGCUGUUGACGGUUCUGUCUUUCUAAUCUUGCGAGUUCUUCGUUAGUCAGCUGAUGUAGUGGUCCUUGUGCGUUGCUCCGAGUAUGUCUACUGGUCAUGCACUUGGAUCAUCUGUUCCAACAAAGAAGUAAAGCAAGUUAGAUAUCUCAGACUAAAUAUUAAACUGAAAAAUAAAGGUAAAAGCUUAGUCCCCGUCGCAACGGCGCCAAAACUUGAUACAAAAAAUGAAUCCUUGCUACUGUCAAGUUAACAGUGGUAAUUGUAAUAUUUGAGAUUCAAUCCAGAGGACCAGUUUACUCUUUACUCUUAUGAGUUCAAUGUCAAGCUGAGAAACAAGUGGGUUUUGAGAAUUAAUUGCGACAAAAGUAACAAGAAUGCCUAGGUAAUUGAAUUCAAUUUAAAUGAAGUGGCUUAGGGUCAAUAAUCGGAUGUUACUUGCAGAACUGAACAACUAUUCAAGUGCGAUGAAAUGCGAUCUAGAACUCAGAUCACUCAGCUGGAACAACUCACUAUCGUGAUCUUAUUCCCUAUGCGAGUCGGUCUUGAAUCCUAAACUCUCGCUUGGAACAAGACGCGAAAGCAAGCUUUAGAUGCGAGAUCUGAUUAGUUCACUUAAUACCCUAAUAUCUACUCUCGCUGAUUAGGGAUACUAAGCUCAUUCAAUAUAGGUCGACUUAUCUCCUAACGGUUAGCUAGAGGAUUAAAUCAUAGAUCCAACAUUAAGUGAUCAGUUCAAUGCAGGCAGUAAGAUCAAUAUGAAUGAAGAUAGUUGAGAUCACUUAUUUGUGUUCAGUUCAUGCGGCUAACACCCUACAACCCUAAGCAAGCUUUGCCUACUACUCAAUCAUAAAGCAGGAUGACACAAACAAGAUUUCUGAAUAAUACUGCAUAUAAAAUAAGUAAAAAGACAAAGGGUUCAGGGAAAUCUUCUCGUGAGAAUGAGAGAUGGAGCCUUCUCCCUUACAAGUUGCGUAAAAUCCAAAAGAGUAAACUAGGUUUCUUGUAAAACUCGUGUGUCCUCUAAGAAAACGAUAGCCUCCCCCUUUUAUAGGGAGGCGCUGGUGAUAGGAGAAUAAGAGAAAGAGAAAGUCGAAACUAGGGCAAACUCCAGAAUAGGAAGUUUCCUUAAUGAACGGGAGCAGUCUAAUGCUUGAUCUCUUCGGGAGCAACCCUUGGGUUGUUCUAAAUGACUGUUCCACGUUGAAUCCUUCGAAACAGCAUCAGACUUCCUGAAACUCUCUCCUUUACUCUUUCACCUGUUCCCAACCUAGAAUGAUGUAAAUUAAACACGAAUUAGGACUGAAAAUGAGCUCAAAGUGCGCAUGUAUUGGUAUUAAAAACACCACAUAUCAAAGUUCAUAUCAUAGUAUGCCAAACAAGAAUGAAAACAUCAAAAAAAAAAGCAAUAAGUCUAGAAAAAAAAGGUAAAGAACAAAGUACAAACUACAAAACUUUCAAAGUUCAAGAUAAAAUAUCACAAUGAAUCAAUAAGAAUCAACAGCAAGAAUAACAUAAUCACUUCAAGUUAUGUGUCUUUGGUCCCCUGUAAUCGACACAGAGCAAACAUAAUAACUUAAACAUAUAGCGACAAUGCAAGCCAUAGCAAGGCACAACAAGAAGAUAGUACAUGAGAAAAAGAUCAAGCAAGGCACAACAAGAACAACAUAAUCACUUCAAGAUCAAGUCAAAGUCGAACAAAAAUCAUGUCGAACUUGAACAAAAAACAUAAACAAACUCGAACAAAAAACAUGAAUAGAACACAAUUUCGAACAACAAACAACAAGAACAAACUCGAACAACAAACAAAAAAAUAAUCUCAAAAAAUUAGAGAUUAGGGUUAUCCGAGAUCGAUUUCUAGACGCUUCUGGUGGAGGAGAAUACUUUCAGUUUGUUAUAUGCGUGAUUUUCGGAUUUAUGGUUAAUAAAUCCAAUUUUACUAUCUCAAUCGUCGAGAUAUUCAGGGGAAUAGAAACAUUGACACAUACAAGGAAAAGUGUGAAGUGG